This 72-nucleotide transfer RNA is filed under the name Puccinia triticina 1-1 BBBD Race 1. RNAcentral's name for it is "tRNA-Und (NNN) (tRNA-Und-NNN-65-1)". It matches the Rfam family "tRNA". From Rfam's summary of the family: Transfer RNA (tRNA) molecules are approximately 80 nucleotides in length. Their secondary structure includes four short double-helical elements and three loops (D, anti-codon, and T loops). Lineage: Eukaryota; Fungi; Basidiomycota; Pucciniomycetes; Pucciniales; Pucciniaceae. The record is from Rfam by way of RNAcentral.
GUGUCUGUAGCCUAGUUGGUAAAGGCAGCUGCAGCAUAGCUGAGGUUGUGAGUUUGACUCUCACCAUACACA